Verrucomicrobia bacterium IMCC26134 is the source of this 74-nucleotide transfer RNA. It matches the Rfam family "tRNA". From Rfam's summary of the family: Transfer RNA (tRNA) molecules are approximately 80 nucleotides in length. Their secondary structure includes four short double-helical elements and three loops (D, anti-codon, and T loops). Further hydrogen bonds mediate the characteristic L-shaped molecular structure. tRNAs have two regions of fundamental functional importance: the anti-codon, which is responsible for specific mRNA codon recognition, and the 3' end, to which the tRNAs corresponding amino acid is attached (by aminoacyl-tRNA synthetases). tRNAs cope with the degeneracy of the genetic code in two manners: having more than one tRNA (with a specific anti-codon) for a particular amino acid; and 'wobble' base-pairing, i.e. permitting non-standard base-pairing at the 3rd anti-codon position. The record is from Rfam. NCBI's taxonomy places the organism in Bacteria, Pseudomonadati, Verrucomicrobiota.
CGGGCUGUAGCGUAGCCUGGUAGCGCGCUUGCAUGGGGUGCAAGAGGUCGUGAGUUCGAAUCUCACCAGCCCGA